UAGAGUUUGAUCAUGGCUCAGAUUGAACGCUGGCGGCAGGCCUAACACAUGCAAGUCGAGCGGAAACGACACUAACAAUCCUUCGGGUGCGUUAAUGGGCGUCGAGCGGCGGACGGGUGAGUAAUGCCUAGGAAAUUGCCUUGAUGUGGGGGAUAACCAUUGGAAACGAUGGCUAAUACCGCAUAAUGCCUACGGGCCAAAGAGGGGGACCUUCGGGCCUCUCGCGUCAAGAUAUGCCUAGGUGGGAUUAGCUAGUUGGUGAGGUAAUGGCUCACCAAGGCGACGAUCCCUAGCUGGUCUGAGAGGAUGAUCAGCCACACUGGAACUGAGACACGGUCCAGACUCCUACGGGAGGCAGCAGUGGGGAAUAUUGCACAAUGGGCGAAAGCCUGAUGCAGCCAUGCCGCGUGUAUGAAGAAGGCCUUCGGGUUGUAAAGUACUUUCAGUUGUGAGGAAGGGUGUGUAGUUAAUAGCUGCGCAUCUUGACGUUAGCAACAGAAGAAGCACCGGCUAACUCCGUGCCAGCAGCCGCGGUAAUACGGAGGGUGCGAGCGUUAAUCGGAAUUACUGGGCGUAAAGCGCAUGCAGGUGGUUCAUUAAGUCAGAUGUGAAAGCCCGGGGCUCAACCUCGGAACUGCGUUUGAAACUGGUGAACUAGAGUGCUGUAGAGGGGAGUAGAAUUUCA
Molecule: ribosomal RNA, 685 nt
Filed under: uncultured Vibrionaceae bacterium
Lineage: Bacteria; Pseudomonadati; Pseudomonadota; Gammaproteobacteria; Vibrionales; Vibrionaceae
Description: bacterial SSU rRNA
Rfam family: Bacterial small subunit ribosomal RNA
Source: RNAcentral